Long non-coding RNA from Cucurbita moschata (crookneck pumpkin), 1943 nucleotides. RefSeq lists it as uncharacterized. The record is from RefSeq and is a predicted model, not a curated record. Lineage: Eukaryota; Viridiplantae; Streptophyta; Magnoliopsida; Cucurbitales; Cucurbitaceae. The transcript is spliced from 4 exons.
GCCCAUGGGUUAAUGGGCCUGUAAAAAAUUCUGACCCAAUAAGGCAAGGGUAAUCAACGCUACUUUGUGCACAGAGCCGCCGAUAAUCAACGCAACUUUGUGCACCAGAAUUCGGCCUCCGAUAAUCAAUUGGAGUUGGAUUCGUCGAUCUUCCUUCGUCAUUUUCAAGAAUGAUCCGAUUCAUACUUUUGCAAAAUAGGCAGGGCCAGACCCGUUUGGCUAAGUAUUACGUUCCUCUUGAGGAAUCCGAAAAGCACAAGGUCGAGUACGAGGUUGUAACGACUCAGAUUGACGGACCGCUAGCAGAUAUUGUCCUCUUUGGGCUUUCCAUUUCGGACUCCUCAAGGUGUCUGCUAGGAGAAGGUUUCCACGUCCUUAUAAAUGGUGUUUUCUCCUCCCUAACCAAUGUGGGACAUCACAAUCCACCUUUUCGAGACCAGCGUCCUUGUAGGGCAAGACCUGUCUGACUAAGUAUUACAUUACUCUUGAGGAAUCCAAAAAGCACAAGGUCGAGUACGAGAUUCAUCGGGUUAAUAGAGAUCCCAAGUUCACAAAUUUCGUGUUGAGGUGAGAACUUUUUGUUGUGAUUUUGUGGGUUUAUGUGAUGAAAUUUUGAUCUUAGGCUGUUGCGUCCCAGUAUUUGUCGAAAUUCGAUGCUCCAUUCUAUUCAAUUGAUUUCGUUGAAGUGGAAUGACGUCAAUCGCCAUAGUACACAAGUAAUGGUUCUGGAAGAAUCCAGAUUCCUUAUAAAACGAAUGAAAUGGGGCAUUGACAAUUAGCUUGUGGAAGAUUGGUAGUAUUGCCAAACCGCUCCCUCUUCCUCUCCUACUUCUUUCUCGCGUCUGCAACUCAGACCUAAAUUCCCUCUUCUCUGUAUUGCUACCACCUCACAGGUUUGCUUCUUUAGAUUCCCCUUUUUCCCCUCUCGAUUUCGGGUUUCUUGCAAUUUCUUCCUCCCCAGGUUUUUUCUUGUGCUGUUUAUAUUGCCUUCUUUGUUUAUUCAAUUUUGGCUCGAUGGUAAUUAGAAACGUGAUUCUUAUUUGAUUACUCGUGGGAUCGCAUUGUCAUUGUGGAGGCUCCGGUCUGAACUUUUGUUGUUUUUCGUUUUCUAAAUCGAGAUUUGAUUAUGCUUAUUUGUUUUGGACAGUUUUUAGUGUUGGGAUUGUGCAUAAUAUUAUUAGUUUCGAUGCGAAUGUUUUGUUUGUUGAUUCGGUCUGGAGGUUUUCAUUGGUACCUCGAUUCUAAGUGGUGUGUUCUUUGUAGAGAGGUUUUGGAGGUUCGGAACCUCAUUCUUUGCCUUAUUUGUUUCCCAUGUAGAUUUAGUUUGAGAUCUUGUAGUCAAUUGGGAUUUGGAAUUGUCUGAGAUCUCUUAGUCAGGAGUCCACGACCGAUGCCCUGUGCUUGAAGAGGUUUUGUUGCAUCCACCCUUUCGUGGGAGAUGCAGAUCGCCUUCACAGGCCGUUCUCUUGAUUGUGUUGUGAAACUUUUUUUUAUUGGAGAGGAUCGUAAGGGUUUUUCAACACAAACUUUAAAGACAUUUCAGCACUGAAUUUAUGAUAUCCCUUCAAGCAACAUUGACUCCCUCCAAUCUACCUCUAAAGUAUAUCCAACAAACCAAAAGCCUGAAGUAGAUUUAGUAGGAUGCCUAGCAAUAAAAGUAAGAAGACACAUAAAAGAACAUGAAAAGGAGAUAAUCUAAAAUAUCAACGCAGUGCAUGAUUGCUUGUGUUAUCUUUCUUGUUGAAUAGGAAGGAACUACGAGCUUAGACUAGGGUGCUUGAGACUAUGUAGGCUAGACAGAACCCUAGAAUGAGGAUUUUAGAGUGUUAUCUUUCUUGUUGAAUAGGAAGGAACUACGAGCUUAGACUAGGGUGCUUGAGAUUAUGUAGGCUAGACAAAACCCUAGAAUGGGGAUACCUCUAAAAUACUGUGCAUUUAUGCCC